AACAAACGCUGGCGGCAGGCCUAACACAUGCAAGUCGAACGGGACCUUCGGGUCUAGUGGCGGACGGGUGAGUAACGCGUGGGAACGUGCCCUUUGGUUCGGAAUAGCCCCGGGAAACUGGGAGCAAUACCGGAUAAUCCCUACGGGGGAACGAUUUAUCGCCAAAGGAUCGGCCCGCGUUGGAUUAGGUAGUUGGUGAGGUAAUGGCUCACCAAGCCGACGUUCCAUAGCUGGUUUGAGAGGAUGAUCACCCACACUGAGUCUGAGACACGGCGCAGACUCCUACGGGAGGCAGCAGUGGGGAAUCUUAGACAAUGGGGGAAACCCUGAUCUAGCCAUGCCACGUGAUCGAUGAAGGCCUUAGGGUUGUAAAGAUCUUUCAGUGGGGAAGAUAAUGACUGUACCCACAGAAGAAGCCCCGGCUAACUCCGUGCCAGCAGCCGCAGUAA
RNAcentral lists this ribosomal RNA (449 nucleotides) under uncultured bacterium. RNAcentral's name for it is "partial 16S ribosomal RNA". It matches the Rfam family "Bacterial small subunit ribosomal RNA", at positions 29 to 523 of the family's 1533-position model. The record is from RNAcentral.